RNAcentral lists this small RNA (176 nucleotides) under uncultured Parabacteroides sp. RNAcentral's name for it is "Bacteroidales-1 6S-Bacteroidales RNA suggested". It matches the Rfam family "Bacteroidales-1 6S-Bacteroidales RNA suggested". Lineage: Bacteria; Pseudomonadati; Bacteroidota; Bacteroidia; Bacteroidales; Tannerellaceae. The record is from RNAcentral.
GUCGCAUUGUCGAUUGGUAAACUCAUCACUUAAAUUGAAAUUCCGAGGCAAGCUCUCAUCGCUAAUGGCGGGCCGCAACUCCUCCUGGAGAUGCAUCGCACAGCGGAUUACAAAGGUGGUGAAGCACUCAAAUCAUGUCAUACGGAGUUUGUUCAUUUCUAUGAUGCGGCUUUCUU